Molecule: ribosomal RNA, 433 nt
Filed under: uncultured bacterium
Lineage: Bacteria
Description: partial 16S ribosomal RNA
Rfam family: Bacterial small subunit ribosomal RNA
Source: RNAcentral
AACGAACGCUGGCGGCAUGCCUAACACAUGCAAGUCGAACGAGACCUUCGGGUCUAGUGGCGCACGGGUGCGUAACGCGUGGGAACCUGCCCUUAGGUUCGGAAUAACUCCCCGAAAGGGGUGCUAAUACCGGAUAAUGUCUUCGGACCAAAGAUUUAUCGCCUUUGGAUGGGCCCGCGUUGGAUUAGCUAGUUGGUAGGGUAAAAGCCUACCAAGGCGACGAUCCAUAGCUGGUCUGAGAGGAUGAUCAGCCACACUGGGACUGAGACACGGCCCAGACUCCUACGGGAGGCAGCAGUGGCGAAUAUUGGACAAUGGGCGAAAGCCUGAUCCAGCAAUGCCGCGUGAGUGAUGAAGGCCUUAGGGUUGUAAAGCUCUUUUACCCGGGAUGAUAAUGACAGUACCGGGAGAAUAAGCGCCGGCUAACUCCGUG